RNAcentral lists this ribosomal RNA (464 nucleotides) under Vreelandella stevensii. RNAcentral describes it as "partial 16S ribosomal RNA". It matches the Rfam family "Bacterial small subunit ribosomal RNA", at positions 338 to 795 of the family's 1533-position model. The record is from RNAcentral. Lineage: Bacteria; Pseudomonadati; Pseudomonadota; Gammaproteobacteria; Oceanospirillales; Halomonadaceae.
CCUACGGGGUGCUGCAGUGGGGAAUAUUGGACAAUGGGCGAAAGCCUGAUCCAGCCAUGCCGCGUGUGUGAAGAAGGCCUUCGGGUUGUAAAGCACUUUCAGUGGGGAAGAAAGCCUUGGGGCUAAUACCCUCGAGGAAGGACAUCACCCACAGAAGAAGCACCGGCUAACUCCGUGCCAGCAGCCGCGGUAAUACGGAGGGUGCGAGCGUUAAUCGGAAUUACUGGGCGUAAAGCGCGCGUAGGCGGUCUGAUAAGCCGGUUGUGAAAGCCCCGGGCUCAACCUGGGAACGGCAUCCGGAACUGUCAGGCUAGAGUGCAGGAGAGGAAGGUAGAAUUCCCGGUGUAGCGGUGAAAUGCGUAGAGAUCGGGAGGAAUACCAGUGGCGAAGGCGGCCUUCUGGACUGACACUGACGCUGAGGUGCGAAAGCGUGGGUAGCAAACAGGAUUAGAUACCCCGUAGUC